AUUGAACGCUGGCGGCAGGCCUAACACAUGCAAGUCGAACGGUAACAGGAAGAAGCUUGCUUCUUUGCUGACGGGUGGCGGACGGGUGAGUAAUGUCUGUGAAACUGCCUGAUGGAGGGGGAUAACUACUGGAAACGGUAGCUACUACCGCAUAACGUCGCAAGACCAAAAAGGGGGACCUUCGGGCCUCUUGCCAUCGGAUGUGCCCAGAUGGGAUUAGCUAGUAGGUGGGGUAACGGCUCACCUAGGCGACGAUCCCUAGCUGGUCUGAGAGGAUGACCAGCCACACUGGAGCUGAGACACGGUCCAGACUCCUACGGGAGGCAGCAGUGGGGAAUAUUGCACAAUGGGCGCAAGCCUGAUGCAGCCAUGCCGCGUGUAUGAAGAAGGCCUUCGGGUUGUAAAGUACUUUCAGCGGGGAGGAAGGGAGUAAAGUUAAUACCUUUGCUCAUUGACGUUACCCGCAGAAGAAGCACCGGCUAACUCCGUG
Molecule: ribosomal RNA, 490 nt
Filed under: uncultured bacterium
Lineage: Bacteria
Description: partial 16S ribosomal RNA
Rfam family: Bacterial small subunit ribosomal RNA
Source: RNAcentral